RNAcentral lists this long non-coding RNA (1212 nucleotides) under Heterocephalus glaber (naked mole-rat). RNAcentral describes it as "lncRNA (ENSHGLG00000034989.1)". Lineage: Eukaryota; Metazoa; Chordata; Mammalia; Rodentia; Bathyergidae. The record is from RNAcentral.
GGCCGCGCUGGCCGGGCUCCGCCUCCCGCCGGCGGUCAGAGACGCCCCCCACGGUCAGCGCUGGGAGGGGGAGGGGGUGACCUGCAGGAAAUGCCGGGCCGGGUUGCCGAGCUUCAGCCCGGAGCCCCUCCUCAGCAAUGCCAGCCGCUUCUGCUGGCGUCAGGAUGCUGCCUUUUCUGGUGUAUGUGAGGUCUGAACUGCCCCCAGAGCUGUACUGCAGGAAUUGAAAGCCCAUCUGCAGCACCUGGGUGGAGAAUUUGCCUUCUCCACUCACCACACCAGUAUCAGCUGAUGGUGCAAACUAUGAUGGCUGUGACACUGCAUUUCCUCUUUGGGAUGUCCACCUAGAAGAUGAAAGAGGAGAAAUCGCCAGCCCAGAAUUUGGAACCAGCUGGUUGCACUAAUAGUUUUGUGGUGCCCCUGCUUCAGACUCCCCCCCCCGCCAUUUGUCUCUCCAUCUUUCUCCCUCUCGAAUCUGACCUGCCAUGUAGUGCCCUAUGCUCUACACCUCCGACUACGCUGUUCCUCUCUCUGUGAAUCUCUUUCUCCUGCUCAUCUGCUGAGAUACAACCUUCUCCUCAAAAACCUUUUUCUCAAAAACUUUCUCACCACUCAUCCAGUGUAUGUCUCACAUUGGUCCCUAGCAAGUGUGACAACUGGGAUCUUGAGGACACUGGACCACUUUGUUUAGCUGUUCAUUCUGUCUAGCUCAGGUUCUUUUGGCUCACUGAUGUGAUAUUUCCAUUGCAGGUGAACAUGCUGCUUUUCCAUGGUGGACUUGGUGGGCAAGACCAUGUCCCUUGCUUCAUUGGUUCAAUGCCAUGAGGCUGGAAGCAAAUUUCUUCACUCUGCCUUUGUUUCUUGCUCAUCAGAGACUGUGACCACCUCUGCUACUGUCUUUCCAGCCAUCCCUUCCCUCACAGACUCUGGAUGUGAUGUUUCCUUCAAACCUACAGCCCCUUGUGCUAAUGAGUGGCUAUCCUUUGUAACAGAAUCAAAUCAGGACCACAGCACUGAUGUGGCUCAAGUCUUCUUCCCUGGGGUCCAGCCCUUUCAACAAUGAACUCAAGUAUGACAUCGCUGACUACCCCAGUCCUGGCAGACCGCUCUCCCUUUACACCUCCCCAAGCUUUGUUUCUUUGAAAAUGUGUAAGGCUUGUUUCUGUCAGUAGAGUAUAAUUACCUCAAAAGCAGAGACCAUGAUUAUAAUAG